Molecule: long non-coding RNA, 466 nt
Organism: Passer domesticus (house sparrow)
Lineage: Eukaryota; Metazoa; Chordata; Aves; Passeriformes; Passeridae
Exons: 2
Source: RefSeq, a predicted model, not a curated record
CCAAUUAGAAAUAUUUUCUCAUGCAGCCAUUCAUUCUUUCUAGUACAAAAGACAUCACACACCACCAGCACAUCAGCAGAGCACACCUUUGGCACCAAGAGCUGAGGUAAUGCAGCACCUUCAUUCAUGCCUUUAAUAUGACUGCCACAAAUGAACAGCAAAGACAAAUGAUAGGAACUUCUAAAUACUUGAUGAAGCCUCACCCUGAGCACUGGCAGCAUCUGAGCAUUUUGAACCUUUUACCCUGGCUUCCUGUGGCAGUAAAAUAUCCUGAAUUUGAUCAGAGUCAAUACCAUGGACAACAAGCAACAACUGAGGAUCUUUUCUAAGACCUUGCAUAAAUAUCUGGGUAAAGAGACCACAGCUACACCACUGAAUUCCUCACAAGAUGCAGUAUCAUGACAAUAGGUUGGAGGAAACCACCUGGGAAGCCUUGAGAAUAAAAAUCCAUACAAGGGGCAUGAGC